RNAcentral lists this ribosomal RNA (405 nucleotides) under uncultured bacterium. Its description in RNAcentral is "partial 16S ribosomal RNA". It matches the Rfam family "Bacterial small subunit ribosomal RNA", at positions 30 to 526 of the family's 1533-position model. The record is from RNAcentral.
AUUGAACGCUAGCGGGAUGCCUUACACAUGCAAGUCGAACGGGUGGCGGACGGGUGAGUAAUAUAUCGGCACGUUCCCAGUGGAGGGGGAUAGGUACUGGGCACAAUGGCUAAUAACGCAUACUAUUGCAGAGGCCGGAAUCGGAUUAGCGAGUUGGUGGGGUAAAGGCUCACCACGGCAACGAUCCGUAGCUGGUUUGAGAGGACGACCAGCCACACUGGAACUGAGACACGGCCCAGACUCCUACGGGAGGCAGCAGUGGGGAAUAUUGGACAAUGGGGGAAACCCUGAUCCAGCCAUCCCGCGUGUGUGAGAAGGCCUUCGGGUUGUAAAGUACUUUUGGCAGGGAAGCGGUAUCUGCAGAAUAAGCACCGGCUAACUACGUGCCAGCAGCCGCGGUAAUUC